AGUCCCCACCCAACCCAGAAGCUCAGCUGGCUUCACCUCUCAAUGGCACUCACUGCGGCACCUAGCUCGGGCAGGCCAGCAGCCCAGAGGGAGCUCGUCCCCCAUCAAGCCCAUCAGGCGCCCACCCAGAACCGCACGUAGCCCAGUCUCCCGCUGGCGCCUCUCUCUCUCUACACCUCCCUGAGAGCAGAGGGAGAUGGCUCCGCCUUGGCCAGCCCCAGAGAGGGGCUCCCACAGUGUAGCAGCGGGCUGAAGGGCUCCUUGAGCACAGCCAGAGCGGACGCCGAGGCCGAGGAGGUGCCGAGAGCCAGCAAGGGCUGCUAGCACGUUGUCACCUCUCAAUAGGAGAAAGCUAUCUAAUAUUUAAUGUAUUUAAGAAAAUCGUGCAAAUGUGGGAAAAUUGUAAGAUGUGCUUUUAGCAAGAAAGAGUUUCUGUUUGGAGGGAUAAACCUCAAGGCCUUUAUGAAGACCAAAAUGACAUACAAUUUUCCUGAUAAAUGCAGUAAAGUGUAACCAAAAAUUUAACAUCUUAAAUUUGAAUUGAGGUUGGGUGUGGUGGCUCACACC
This 567-nucleotide small RNA is filed under the name Pongo abelii (Sumatran orangutan). RNAcentral's name for it is "processed transcript". The record is from RNAcentral. Lineage: Eukaryota; Metazoa; Chordata; Mammalia; Primates; Hominidae.